UCAGCUCCAACAUUAUGGUUGCUCAGUUUCUUCAGAAAGCAACUCAUGGAGAAGUACAAACCACAGUUAGAAAGUUGAGAGAUUUCAAUGAGAAGCACAGGACCUUUAAGUCACAUGGUUACCUUCAGAAUGCACUCACCAAUUGGUACAGUUAUGAAACCUCUAGAAGUCAUCCAUUCUUGUAUAGACUUACUCUCCUGGCAUGUCUACUUGCUAUGAAACAGCUGUUUAGUCAUGUUGCCAAGAAGAAAAGAAGACAGAAUGCCUCUAGAUAAAGAAAUGCUAUUCCUAUGUCAACUUGCUAUGCAAAGUGUGGACUGUGGACCAGCAGCAUGUGUGUCGCCUGGCAGCUUGUUGCAAAUGCAGAAUCUGAAGCUCUCAUCUAGACCUACUAAACAGACUUCACUUUAACAAUAUAACCGGGCAAGUCAUAUAGUCAUUAAAAUUUGAGAAGU
Long non-coding RNA from Homo sapiens (human), 455 nucleotides. Ensembl annotates it as long intergenic non-protein coding RNA 2499. The record is from Ensembl. NCBI's taxonomy places the organism in Eukaryota, Metazoa, Chordata, Mammalia, Primates, Hominidae.